RNAcentral lists this ribosomal RNA (371 nucleotides) under uncultured fungus. Its description in RNAcentral is "eukaryotic LSU rRNA". The stretch from base 1 to 71 matches the Rfam family "5.8S ribosomal RNA", at positions 84 to 154 of the family's 154-position model. Lineage: Eukaryota; Fungi. The record is from RNAcentral.
GUGAGUCAUGGAGUCUUUGAACGCACCUUGCGCUCUCUGGUAUUCCGGAGAGCAUGCCUGUUUGAGUGUCAUGAACUCUUCAACCCACCGGUUCCUUGUUGGAUCGAGUUGGUGUUUGGAUCUUGAGCGUUUGCUGGCUUACUUAGUUCUUCGGAAUUAGGAAAAAGCGUAGCUCGUUCGUAAUACAUUAGCAUCUCAAUUACGAAACUCGGAUUGACUCAGCGUUAUAGACUAUUCGCUGAGGACAUGAGCAAUCAUGGCCGAAUUAAGUCAACUAGAAGCUUCUAAUCCCCCACUAGUCAAAACUAUAAGAUUAGACCUCAGAUCAGGCAGGAUUACCCGCUGAACUUAAGCAUAUCAAUAAGCGGAGG